RNAcentral lists this ribosomal RNA (192 nucleotides) under uncultured Prevotella sp. RNAcentral's name for it is "partial 16S ribosomal RNA". It matches the Rfam family "Bacterial small subunit ribosomal RNA", at positions 335 to 524 of the family's 1533-position model. The record is from RNAcentral. Lineage: Bacteria; Pseudomonadati; Bacteroidota; Bacteroidia; Bacteroidales; Prevotellaceae.
ACUCCUACGGGAGGCAGCAGUGAGGAAUAUUGGUCAAUGGACGUAAGUCUGAACCAGCCAAGUAGCGUGCAGGAUGACGGCCCUAUGGGUUGUAAACUGCUUUUAUGCGGGGAUAAAGUUGGGGACGCGUCCCUUUUUGCAGGUACCGCAUGAAUAAGGACCGGCUAAUUCCGUGCCAGCAGCCGCGGUAAU